Molecule: ribosomal RNA, 275 nt
Filed under: uncultured prokaryote
Description: partial 16S ribosomal RNA
Rfam family: Bacterial small subunit ribosomal RNA
Source: RNAcentral
CACGUAGGGGGCGAGCGUUGUCCGGAAUUACUGGGCGUAAAGGGAGCGUAGGCGGACUUUUAAGUGAGAUGUGAAAUACCCGGGCUCAACUUGGGUGCUGCAUUUCAAACUGGAAGUCUAGAGUGCAGGAGAGGAGAAUGGAAUUCCUAGUGUAGCGGUGAAAUGCGUAGAGAUUAGGAAGAACACCAGUGGCGAAGGCGAUUCUCUGGACUGUAACUGACGCUGAGGCUCGAAAGCGUGGGGAGCAAACAGGAUUAGAUACCCCGGUAGUCUCU